GUGGACCUUAAGUUCCGUCCGGGUUUGUAAUUCCGAUCCCAGUUCCCGUAAAUCUGUCUACGAUUUUGUUAGGUGACGGAGUUCGUUUUCGCAGCACACCACCCACCCCAUUUUCCCUGAGCCUAGCCGGCAAACUUUUAGUAGACAGAGAGUGCUGACGAGACGACACUUCCCGUGUCCGUUACAUAAGAAAUGGCGCCCAACGUGGGGCCCGAAUGGUCCGUUUUCCCCAAUAACCUUCCCCAAUCCCUUCCGCAACCCAAUAUUGAUCCAAAUUUUAAAGUAGUUCAGUUUUUUUGUUAUAUAUCCAGCUCGGAACCGCUGGGAAUCUGAUCAUUGUCGGACCCAGACCAGUGGAUAUAUUGCAUAGAAGAAGAUCACAUUAGACUUCAUUAUAUCAUUUCAUCAGGAUACUAGGAACGAUAGUUCUGAGUAAAUUGGUUCUAUACCUAGUAGCGAAGAUGAAUGACCUUUAUUCUCUCGAGAUUAGUUGAGACUUGUUCAGACUGGAGAAUUCGGUCCUGUUCCUCCUUUUCUCGAAAGGAUCAUCACCCAAACUUUCUUUUCU
This 568-nucleotide long non-coding RNA is filed under the name Drosophila guanche. The record is from RNAcentral. Lineage: Eukaryota; Metazoa; Arthropoda; Insecta; Diptera; Drosophilidae.